CACCCCUCAGGGUCGCACCUGGAGAGUUUCCAGUACUCUACCAGUCUCAACUGUAAGAGGGGGAGUUAGGCAGAGGCAUAUCCAUUCCAUUCCUAUCUUGGCCAGUGGCUAGCGAGUGGAAGACGAUCUGCUAUAAGU
Molecule: small nucleolar RNA, 138 nt
Organism: Ornithorhynchus anatinus (platypus)
Lineage: Eukaryota; Metazoa; Chordata; Mammalia; Monotremata; Ornithorhynchidae
Source: RefSeq, a predicted model, not a curated record